AGAACUAGUUCACUGUGAAGCGGCGCGGAAUCAAUGUGAUUCCAUUGGUACACCAAUACAACUCUAGAUAGCAACAACAGCAUUACCUGCUCAGAACGUUAAGAAGUUGAGGUGAAAGUGGCAAAAGCCUCUAAGCGCUAGCGUGGAAGCAACGUAGCGGAGAACGGGGCUUUACAGUUGCAAGAUAGCCAACAUACCAACAUAAGGAGACAGCUCAGGGGAACUGUCAAAAAGUCUAACCCGGAGAAAGGAGCAACAGCUGUUGCUAGCCACAGACACACACACACAUACUUUUACACACAGUCACACACGUACAAAAUGCCACACAAACAGUCUCAAAGCUGGAUUUACACCUGCCUCUUGGUCAGUAUCUUGCCUACAUUGUGCUUGGGCUUACUCGACGGUCUCUACUGUGGCAAGGAGAACUGUUACGAUGUGCUGGGCGUCACACGUGAAUCCUCAAAGUCGGAGAUCGGCAAGGCCUACCGGCAGCUGGCACGCAAAUAUCAUCCCGAUCUGCACCGUGGCGAGGAGGCCAAGGCGCUGGCCGAGCAGAAGUUUAAGCUCGUUGCCACCGCCUACGAGAUACUGCGCGACGAGGAGUCCCGCACAGACUACGACUACAUGCUGGAUAACCCGGACGCCUACUAUGCGCAUUACUAUCGCUACUACCGACGACGUGUGGCACCCAAAGUCGAUGUGCGCGUGGUGAUCGUGGUGACGUUGACCGUGAUUUCUAUAAUCCAGUACUACUCUGGUUGGCAGCGCUACGAUGCUGCCAUCAAAUACUUUUCAACGGUGCCCAAGUAUCGCAACAAGGCGCUGGACAUAGCCCGAGAUGAGAUCCAGGAGCGAGUGCACAAUCGCAAGGGCAAGAAUCGCAAGAGCCUAUCGAAAACGGAACAGAAAGAGGAAAUCGAGCGUAUUAUACGCAAGGUAAUCGAGGAGAAAAUGGACGUUCAGGGCGGCUAUGCGAAGCCGACGCUAUGGGAUGUGCUAUGGGUGCAGCUGCUCAUCUGCCCGUACACGCUGUUCAAUUUCAUUGCGUGGCACGCGCUGUGGUUCUGGCGCUACACGGUGCUCAAGCAGCCGUACGGCCGGGAGCAGCAGCUCUAUUUGAUACGACGCCACAUGGGCAUGGGUCAGCACCAGUUCAAUUCACUGGAGGACAAACAGAUCGAGGAGUAUCUGCAGCUUGAACUGUGGAAGCGUGACAAUUUUGUCGCGUGGAAGACCGAUCAGGACGAGGACAUGAAGAAGAAACUGGCCGAGAAUCCGCGCUACAAGGCCUACAGGCGCUACAUGAAGAACCAUGGGCCCGGGCGGAUCACCUUCGAGGAUUAGAGGACGAGUACGGCAUCUGUUGAUGUUCAAGUUUUAUUGUUCCAACGUGUCGCCAUGGGCCAGUCAACUGGCGAAGUUUUGCAAUAGCUUAAAAAUAAAUUAUGUUAAUAAUUCUGCUGGCCAUUUGAACACUGCCCGCAGGGCAGCGAUGGCCAAAGCGUUGACCUCGCCACCAAAACCGGUUCCAAAAACGUGCUUACUCGCAUUUCAUCUCUCAUCUUUCAUCUUCCACAUCUGCCAGCAGAAACGUGCGAUAAACGCGAAACCGAAAACCGAGAACCUCUCUCUGUUUUUUGUCUCUCCUUUUUUCAAGUUGUUAGCUCAAUUGUCCGAAUUUUUAUAUAGCAAA
Molecule: unclassified non-coding RNA, 1693 nt
Organism: Drosophila arizonae
Lineage: Eukaryota; Metazoa; Arthropoda; Insecta; Diptera; Drosophilidae
Source: RefSeq, a predicted model, not a curated record